Molecule: unclassified non-coding RNA, 508 nt
Filed under: Hevea brasiliensis (rubber tree)
Lineage: Eukaryota; Viridiplantae; Streptophyta; Magnoliopsida; Malpighiales; Euphorbiaceae
Source: RNAcentral
AUCCUGGGUAUGUUGAUUGGCAUAAGAUUUUCAGGUUUAAAGUCAACCGAGCCAGGUUUCAUACUGACAGGCCAAUGGAUUAGGUACAGGUCAACAUAUUCCAGCUGCAAGUCUUGAAGAGUUUUGUCUAGUGCGACUGGUACAUCUUCAGGUGCAUGAUUAGUGUUCCAGAGUUUGGAUGUAAUGAAUAGAUCUCGCCUCUUGACAACACCAUCUUUAAACAGCCUGCUCAAUACUUCACCAAUCUCCUUCUCAUUUUUAUAAAUUUGAGCACAAUCAAUAUGCCGGUAGCCCAUCUUGAUAGCAGUCUCCACGGCUUUGCCGACGACACCAGGGUCGGACUGCCACGUUCCCAAACCGACCGCCGGAAUGCUGAAACCGGUAUUCAACUCAAUGUACGGCAUCUCCGUCGCCUCCGCCAUUGAUACAAAAAAAGAGGAGGGAAAUUGAAAAAAACGAGAGUGAAUCGUAUACAGCCAAAGAGAGAAAAAGUGAUAUAUGAGUAGAG